This 164-nucleotide antisense RNA is filed under the name Vibrio crassostreae. RNAcentral's name for it is "sok antitoxin". It matches the Rfam family "sok antitoxin (CssrC)". Rfam says of the family: Also identified in Shigella as CssrC. Lineage: Bacteria; Pseudomonadati; Pseudomonadota; Gammaproteobacteria; Vibrionales; Vibrionaceae. The record is from RNAcentral.
GGGUGCUCUUGGCUGUUUGUCAUGAGCAAUCAUUUAAACAUUUUUGUUUGUGGCAGAUAGACAAAAGCCCCGAAAGUUAAUUAAAACUUACGAGGCAAUGUAUGUAUCUAGACACUACAAAUAUUAGCCUCUUUAUCACUAGGAGGCAACAAAAAAUGCCAAAG